GACGAACGCUGGCGGCGUGCCUAAUACAUGCAAGUAGAACGCUGAAGAGAGGAGCUUGCUCUUCUUUGAUGAGUUGCGAACGGGUGAGUAACGCGUAGGUAACCUGCCUUGUAGCGGGGGAUAACUAUUGGAAACGAUAGCUAAUACCGCAUAACAAUGGAUGACACAUGUCAUUUAUUUGAAAGGGGCAAUUGCUCCACUACAAGAUGGACCUGCGUUGUAUUAGCUAGUAGGUGGGGUAAUGGCUCACCUAGGCGACGAUACAUAGCCGACCUGAGAGGGUGAUCGGCCACACUGAGACUGAGACCCGGCCCAGACUCCUACGGGAGGCAGCAGUAGGGAAGCUUCGGCAAUGGGGGCAACCCUGACCGAGCAACGCCGAGGGAGUGAAGAAGGGUUUCGGAUCGUAAAGCUCUGUUGUAAGUCAAGAACGGGGGUGAGAGUGGAAAGUUCACACUGUGACGGUAGCUUAUCAGAAAGGGACGGCUAACUACGUG
RNAcentral lists this ribosomal RNA (497 nucleotides) under uncultured bacterium. RNAcentral describes it as "partial 16S ribosomal RNA". It matches the Rfam family "Bacterial small subunit ribosomal RNA", at positions 28 to 507 of the family's 1533-position model. The record is from RNAcentral.